RNAcentral lists this ribosomal RNA (1059 nucleotides) under Triticum aestivum (bread wheat). Its description in RNAcentral is "partial small subunit ribosomal RNA". Lineage: Eukaryota; Viridiplantae; Streptophyta; Magnoliopsida; Poales; Poaceae. The record is from RNAcentral.
AUGUUCAACAACAUAGUCUCGACGUGGAACAAGAGGAGGAGAAGCAAAUCGCUUGACCAGUUGAAUCCUUGGGUGUACAAGACGGCCGAGCUGUGGCAGGUGAAGGAGCCUCUGCCGCUGCCGGCGCCGAGGAAGCGCAACUGCUCCAUGGUGUUCACCCUCAAGGAGAUGGAGGAGGCCACCGGCAUGUUCAGCGACAAGAACCUCAUCGGCAAGGGCGGCUUCGGCCGGGUUUACAGGGGCGUGCUCAAAGACGGGCAGAUCGUGGCCAUCAAGAAGAUGGACCUGCCGACGGCGAAGCAGGCGGACGGCGAGCGGGAGUUCCGGGUGGAGAUCGACAUCCUGAGCCGGCUGGACCACCCCAACCUGGUGACGCUGAUCGGUUACUGCGCCGACGGGAAGCACCGGUUCGUGGUCUACGAGUUCAUGCCCAAGGGCAACCUGCAGGACGUGCUCAACGGCAUCCGCGGCGAGGUGCGGAUGGGGUGGGGGCAGCGGCUGCGGAUCGCGCUGGGCGCCGCCAGGGGGCUCGCGUACCUGCACUCCACCACCGCCGUCGGCGUCCCCGUCGUCCACCGGGACUUCAAGUCCAGCAACAUCCUCCUCUCCGACCACUUCGAGGCCAAGAUCUCCGACUUCGGGCUCGCCAAGCUCAUGCCGCAGGACCUGGACCUGUACGCCACCACCAGGGUGCUCGGCACCUUCGGCUACUUCGACCCCGAGUACGCGCUGACGGGGAAGCUGACGCUGCAGAGCGACGUGUACGCGUUCGGCGUCGUCCUCCUGGAGCUGCUCACCGGCCGCCGCGCCAUUGAUCUCAGCCAGGGGCCUCAAGACCAGAACCUCAUCGUCAAGAUACACCAGAUGGUGGGCGACCGGAAGAAGCUGCGCAAGGUGGUGGACAGGGACAUGGGCAAGGGGUCGUACACGCUGGAGUCGGUGUCCAUGUUCGCGGGCCUCGCCGCGCGCUGCGUGUGCUUCGAGAGCGCCGGCCGGCCGGCCAUGCAGGACUGCGUCAAGGAGCUCCAGCUCAUCAUGUACGCCAACAUGAAGAUAUGA